GGCCGGAGCGUGGCGACGGUUUCUCCCGAGCAGGCGUGCCCACCUCUCCCCUGAAAAAGUGGAAAAAUCUUGCGGUUCCAGUGGACUCGGGGUCCCGUUGGCGAGCGGCUUCUGCUGGAUUUGCGGCGGCGAGUGGUUUCUGCUGGAAUUGUAGCGAGGCCAGGCGGCGGUGGCGGCGGCUGUGCUGCGGCGUUUGACGACGGAAGGGGCGAGGAGCAGCCUACCCCGAGCUCGCUUCUUAUUUUGACGGCGCGGCCGUCCACGGAGGAGCAGCCCCGAUAUCAACCGGCGGCAGCGCCCGCCUCUCUCUCUCUCUCUCUCUCUCUCAGGCCAAUAGCUUACAGGAGGUUCUCUUUCCUCCGGCGAAGAAGCUCCUCCCGGCGUUUAGCGAACUUGCCUCUCCAUCCACUUCAACCUGGUCGGCGGCGGCUCCGCACGGCUCGACCGUCCAGGGCUAUGGGGGACCCUCCCGCACAGGCAGCACGAUCCCUGACCUCCCCGGUCCGCAGCCCUGCCGCCGAUUAAGCAACCGGUCCUCAUCCGCCCCUCACCGCGUGUUCGACGAGCCGCACGACGGCCUGCCCUCAUCUACUGUCACAGUGAGAAACACCUGUACACGUAUGAUGAUAACCUGUUCGACAGAAUGCCUGUGAGAGUGAUGUGUUUCUCAAUCAAGUUUCCUUUUGUUCUUGCGAAGAUGAAAAUGAAGUUGAUUUUAUUUACCUUCACGCAAGCAAUUCCAAGACGAGGAAGAGGACUUUCCAUCUGUUUCACCAGCAGCAGUAGCUGCAGUAGUGGCAGUUCCUGGGAAGCUUCGAUGCAUUAUAUCGAUAACAAAUGGUUUUUUGGUUAAAACCAUCUUCCUUUUUGGUAGAUUCAUGUUUAGCCGUUAUUCUGCUUACUAUGGUACUCAUUGUUAGGAUAAAUUUGCUGAUUUAGAGUUUGUUUACGAAGAGCUGAGAAGCUCGUUUUUCCCAUGAUCUAAUUAUCGUCAAACAAGUAGAAACAGCAAAUACUGAAAUUUAUUGCAUAGUUGCAUUCUGAAUCCUGUUAUUGCUGGUCAAACUAAUGCUCAUACUUGAUUUAAGUUUACUAUCCUUUGGUUAAAACCAUAUUCAUUUUAUGGAAAUCUCUUCUAUUUUUUGCUAGUCUGAUGGUAGGAAUGGUACGCAAGAGCAAUUGUUUUCUGAAUUGCUUGAAGAUAUAUAGUCACAAGUGGUUUGUUCUUUUCUUCAUUUCACAUGCCUUUAGGUCACCCCCUUCUGCUACUAAAUUAUGAUUUGGUUUAUGAAAACAACAAUUAGAUGCAUCGAUCUGAACUCCAGUUCUGAAACUCAUCUAUUGUUGUUGGGCUAGUACUUCAAACAGUCCUUGAUCUGCCUGCCGUAGAGCCAUUAUGGAGGAGCAAAACUAUUGUGCCAUGUUUGCAUUCUCUUCUCAUCCUUCCUAUCCAAUAAUCUUUUGUUCUUUUCUUAAGCCGGAGAAAUUUGUGGUUUGCACUGCUUGACUGUUGUAAUUUUCUUUGCCUGCCACAUUUGCUUUGAGGUUACCAUCAUCUCAGAUUGUAUGUUGUAAUGUCUCAUUGUCAAGGUUCUAUGGUGGUAUCUCAUUAAUGGCUUCAUUUGCUGAUCUUCUGUCUUGAUUUGCUUGGACCAGCUUAAUAUCUAUUUCGUUCUAGUCUUACCGACAUUCAUAUUACUGAUAAAUGAAAUCCAUAUGCUAUACUAUUCCUCACGAUUCCUUAACUCUCAGGCAGAAUCACCUUCCCCUUCUCGGCUUAGUCAACUAAUUGCAGUCUGAUGUUUGUGGCAAGAAGACCACCACCAAUAUUAGUAGGCCAAAAGUUUCGAGUCCCUCAAAUAAAUUAUUCAUGUCGAAGAAUUCCCGGCAGAAGGUUGUCAUCGCUGUUUUUUUCAUGGACCCAACAACCAAAAACAAGCAGGAGAAAUAAACAUUUGAGUUUCAAACUGCUUUUUCCUUUCAAUUGCCCACCUAACAAAGGAGCCAUCUGAUUAUCUCAUCGAUAACCGUAUUGUUUUUCAUAGUCCUAUUGCAGUGCUUGUAUGUUUUCAUGGCUUGAAUGUUAGCUUUUGUUAGUGAGAUUAUUUGAUUUUUUUGUCGAGGGGAAUCAUAUGAUUAAUUAGUAAUUAUUUCAUUUGAUUUGAGAGAUAGAUUGAGACAGCUUUCUUUAGCUGUAGACUGAAACAACUUGGUGUUUUGGUGUAUAUACAAAGUAGUAUUGUCAACUUGGAUAGGUUGGUUUAACUUCAGAUAUUAGUUUCGCAGCUUGCUGACUUCACGGAAAACUAGUGCCUGACCAGAAUUGGAAUGCAAUGCUGGUGAUCUGUGCGUUUUAUAUGUUCACUGUAUUUGUGGGAUAUUAUCCGUGCCACUGUCUAUUCCUUUUUCUUUAACCUGGUGAAAGUGAAAUGAUUGUUUCGUGUUGGUUAUCUAUAUGAAGUGAAGCAAACAUGAGUUAUUUUAGGCAUAUUGCAUAUUCAAAAAGCUUGAAGAUAGCUUCAGGUCGGCCCUUCUAUCAUCUGUCCCUACUAUAAUAUUGUUGUAAUUAUACAUAUUCAGUUUGUUGUUUGUUUAUUUUGUGGUGACCUUUUUCCUUCUUCAACUUACGUCGAGAUUCUGAAUAAACAUAUCGCCGAAUAAUGAAUUAUGAAGGGACCAAUGUGUUUUCUCGAGAUAUUUUUGUUGUUUCAGCUAAACUGGUUAGGCAGGACAGAGUACACGUGGACCUUAAGAACUGUGAUUUGACUUAAGUAAACAUUCACUAUUUUAGGGCCUAAAGAACUGUGUUUUCACUGAAGUUAAUAUUCACUAUUUUAUAGAGAUUGUGCCUGUUGCCAGCUGAUGCAUAAAGCAAAAUGCAUUAAUUUAUCUAGCUUAAUUUCCAUGUUCUUGCUCCAUGCACUUAAUAUUGUACAGACUUCAGGUUGGCACAAGGCUUAGGUUAAAGUUUGGGGUCUCUAGUUUCAAGUGGAGAUAAUUGUUGGGAAUCAUGGGUAUAAUUUAACUAAAGUUUUAUGCUGUCGGUAGGGUGCUCCUAUGGAUAAGUUGCUUAUGUUGAUUUUUCAAGUGGCAGGGUACAGCGGUCUUCCUGACUGUUUGAGUGGGGAGUAAGAUUGUUCAGGCAAAUAGUAAGUUAUGUCUUCAGCAAUACUUGAGGAUGAAGGCCUGGUACGAAACAACUAAAUGGAUGAUGUUUGCUUCUGUCCCAUAUUCUGAUUAUUGUUCAAGGAACAAGUGUCCUUUCAUAAAUAUUUGAAUGUUUUCCUUAGUUACAUUUCUGUCUUCCAUAAAAUAUGUUGUGUUUGCAUUGAUAUGUCUACGAGAUGCAUCAUUAGCAAGAGAGAAAUGUCUAUUACUCAACAAAAUUAUGUUUCCAUAUUAACAAAACUUUGUUUCUGUACUAAGCGACACAAUGUUGUGAACUUUUUAUUUAGUGUGAUCUCCUGGGGUAUGAUUAUCACAGGUGGAAAUGGAUGCAUUGCUGCUGUUGGGAAACACCUCUAUCUUUUGAAUUUUUGAUGCCUUGUGAAUUGCAACUAUUGUGUACCUGGCAAAUAACAUUAUUUUUGUAUUCCUGGAAGAAAACCAAAUUAAAUGGAUGUGCUUCCCUGUAGGAAACAGUAUGUUGGAAUAGAUGUAUAAAUGAUUAACUUAUUCUUGGCUAAUGACAGUAUGUAGUGGUCCACCAGCUUAGACUAAUUUUUCUCUUGUAGGCUUGUAGCUCUAGAUUAGAAUAAUGUCACUUAGGCACCUUUACAGGAGGGUUCAUCUCAUAUAUAAAUAUUGUUGGUGUAAAGAAUUAUAGUUGUAAAGAAUAGCACUUCUAUGGUAUAUAUUAUCUGCAAUUAGUUUUAAAUGUUGUGUUGACGCUCUUCCCUAUGUGUGGCAGUGCAUUUUUUCCCAGUUCAUCUGGCAUUGAUCACUGUAGAGUGGUUCAGUUUGAUCUUUGAGGAGAGGAGGUAAUAUAUUACUGUACAUAUGGCUAAUAAUAAUAUUUCUGUUCUGAUUGAGAGAAACAGUAAGUGGCUGGUACUAUGCAACUGCAAGUAGCUAACAGGCUUCAAGCAGGUGGCACAGAUCUUGAUUCCAUUACAAGUACCUGUUGUUCCAAAAGGCAAGUGGCUGGUACUGCAAUCAGUUGUAUUUUUCCGAAGUGUGGUGUGUUUUGCUUGCUUCUAUGAUUGACGAUUGCAAUAUACCACUGUAGAAAUCACAAGUGUGUUGCUGUUGUAUGCAGCAAUGUAAAAUUCAGAAAUUUCUACACGUGUAUUAAUGUUGUAUGUAGCACCCAGGAACUAAGAAAUUUUCCAAAAAAGUGAUGUGUUUUAUGCACUCUCCUAAUAUAAAUCUUCUAAAACAA
This is a long non-coding RNA of Brachypodium distachyon (stiff brome), 4381 nucleotides long. RefSeq lists it as uncharacterized. The transcript is spliced from 3 exons. The record is from RefSeq and is a predicted model, not a curated record. Lineage: Eukaryota; Viridiplantae; Streptophyta; Magnoliopsida; Poales; Poaceae.